Molecule: transfer RNA, 87 nt
Filed under: Bacteroidales bacterium
Lineage: Bacteria; Pseudomonadati; Bacteroidota; Bacteroidia; Bacteroidales
Description: tRNA-Leu
Rfam family: tRNA
About the family: Transfer RNA (tRNA) molecules are approximately 80 nucleotides in length. Their secondary structure includes four short double-helical elements and three loops (D, anti-codon, and T loops).
Source: RNAcentral
GCCCAGAUGGCGGAAUUGGUAGACGCGCUGGUUUCAGGGACCAGUGACCGCAAGGUUGUGCAAGUUCGAUCCUUGUUCUGGGUACAA